UACGAAGGGGGCUAGCGUUGCUCGGAAUCACUGGGCGUAAAGGGUGCGUAGGCGGGUUAUUAAGUCAGAGGUGAAAUCCUGGAGCUCAACUCCAGAACUGCCUUUGAUACUGAUAGUCUUGAGUAUGGGAGAGGUGAGUGGAACUGCGAGUGUAGAGGUGAAAUUCGUAGAUAUUCGCAAGAACACCAGUGGCGAAAGCGGCUCACUGGAUCUCUUCUGACGCUGAGGCACGAAAGCUAGGGUAGCGAACGGG
This 253-nucleotide ribosomal RNA is filed under the name uncultured bacterium. Its description in RNAcentral is "partial 16S ribosomal RNA". It matches the Rfam family "Bacterial small subunit ribosomal RNA", at positions 524 to 776 of the family's 1533-position model. The record is from RNAcentral.